GCCUUGCUGAAUUAUUCACCCGUGUCUUUUGCGUACUUCUUGUUUCCUUGGUGGGUUCGCCCACCAUAGGACAAACCAUAAACCUUUUGUAAUUGCAAUCAGCGUCAGUAAAAAAAAUUAAUAAUUACAACUUUUAACAACGGAUCUCUUGGUUCUGGCAUCGAUGAAGAACGCAGCGAAAUGCGAUAAGUAGUGUGAAUUGCAGAAUUCAGUGAAUCAUCGAAUCUUUGAACGCACAUUGCGCCCUUUGGUAUUCCAAAGGGCAUGCCUGUUCGAGCGUCAUUUGUACCCUCAAGCUUUGCUUGGUGUUGGGCGUCUUGUCUCCAGUUCGCUGGAGACUCGCCUUAAAGUAAUUGGCAGCCGGCCUACUGGUUUCGGAGCGCAGCACAAGUCGCGCUCUCUUCCAGCCAAGGUCAGCAUCCACAAAGCCUUUUUUCAACUUUUGACCUCGGAUCAGGUAGGGAUACCCGCUGAACUUAAGCAUAUCAAUA
RNAcentral lists this ribosomal RNA (491 nucleotides) under Alternaria sp. CJL-2014. RNAcentral describes it as "eukaryotic LSU rRNA". The stretch from base 129 to 282 matches the Rfam family "5.8S ribosomal RNA". Lineage: Eukaryota; Fungi; Ascomycota; Dothideomycetes; Pleosporales; Pleosporaceae. The record is from RNAcentral.